This 513-nucleotide ribosomal RNA is filed under the name uncultured beta proteobacterium Kmlps3-24. RNAcentral's name for it is "bacterial SSU rRNA". It matches the Rfam family "Bacterial small subunit ribosomal RNA", at positions 900 to 1413 of the family's 1533-position model. Lineage: Bacteria; Pseudomonadati; Pseudomonadota; Betaproteobacteria. The record is from RNAcentral.
CUCAAAGGAAUUGACGGGGGCCCGCACAAGCGGUGGAUUAUGUGGAUUAAUUCGAUGCAACGCGAAAAACCUUACCUGGCCUUGACAUGCCACUAACGAAGCAGAGAUGCAUUAGGUGCGAAAGGGAAAGUGGACACAGGUGCUGCAUGGCUGUCGUCAGCUCGUGUCGUGAGAUGUUGGGUUAAGUCCCGCAACGAGCGCAACCCUUGCCAAUAAUUGCCAUCAUUCAGUUGGGCACUUUAUUGGGACUGCCGGUGACAAACCGGAGGAAGGUGGGGAUGACGUCAAGUCCUCAUGGCCCUUAUGGCCAGGGCUUCACACGUAAUACAAUGGUCGGUACAGAGGGUUGCCAACCCGCGAGGGGGAGCCAAUCCCAGAAAGCCGAUCGUAGUCCGGAUUGCAGUCUGCAACUCGACUGCAUGAAGUCGGAAUCGCUAGUAAUCGCGGAUCAGCAUGUCGCGGUGAAUACGUUCCCGGGCCUUGUACACACCGGCCGUCACACCAUGGGAGUGG